Molecule: unclassified non-coding RNA, 263 nt
Filed under: Hevea brasiliensis (rubber tree)
Lineage: Eukaryota; Viridiplantae; Streptophyta; Magnoliopsida; Malpighiales; Euphorbiaceae
Source: RNAcentral
AAUAUCGAGUCACGUGCUCGUCUCCCUCGCGCAUGAGAGAUCUUACUAAUGUGGGAGCGGUGUAAAAAAUUGAAACUUUAUACUUAUCAACGAUAUCCCAACAACGUCCUGCAUCUGGAUAAUUCGGAGCCCCUUCAAAAACCACAUUUGUUGCUCCAUUCAGUAAAGGUCCGUAUGUAACAUAACUAUGACCGGUAAUCCAACCGCAGUCAGCUGUACACCAAUAAAUGUCUUUUGGUUUGUAGUCAAAUGCAUACUUGAAU